RNAcentral lists this unclassified non-coding RNA (246 nucleotides) under Mucoromycotina sp. Its description in RNAcentral is "partial contains small subunit ribosomal RNA, internal transcribed spacer 1, and 5.8S ribosomal RNA". The stretch from base 1 to 47 matches the Rfam family "Eukaryotic small subunit ribosomal RNA", at positions 1785 to 1831 of the family's 1831-position model. The record is from RNAcentral. Lineage: Eukaryota; Fungi; Mucoromycota.
AAAGUCGUAACAAGGUUUCCGUAGGUGAACCUGCGGAAGGAUCAUUCACAAUGAGUGUUUAAUGGCACUUCAAAUCCAUUACCCACCUUGUGUGCAUUGUCGGGAGGACUUGCCCAAUAUCUCUCUCGUCAGAGGGGGAAGAAGGGGGGGUUCUCUUUUUACAUUUACUCUGUUCUUCAGUAUCAGUCUACUUUAUUAGAGUAUAAAACUCGAAUACAACUUUCAACAACGGAUCUCUUGGCUCUC